Molecule: ribosomal RNA, 1096 nt
Filed under: Escherichia coli
Lineage: Bacteria; Pseudomonadati; Pseudomonadota; Gammaproteobacteria; Enterobacterales; Enterobacteriaceae
Description: partial 23S ribosomal RNA
Rfam family: Bacterial large subunit ribosomal RNA
Source: RNAcentral
UGUUUCGGCAAGGGGGUCAUCCCGACUUACCAACCCGAUGCAAACUGCGAAUACCGGAGAAUGUUAUCACGGGAGACACACGGCGGGUGCUAACGUCCGUCGUGAAGAGGGAAACAACCCAGACCGCCAGCUAAGGUCCCAAAGUCAUGGUUAAGUGGGAAACGAUGUGGGAAGGCCCAGACAGCCAGGAUGUUGGCUUAGAAGCAGCCAUCAUUUAAAGAAAGCGUAAUAGCUCACUGGUCGAGUCGGCCUGCGCGGAAGAUGUAACGGGGCUAAACCAUGCACCGAAGCUGCGGCAGCGACGCUUAUGCGUUGUUGGGUAGGGGAGCGUUCUGUAAGCCUGUGAAGGUGUGCUGUGAGGCAUGCUGGAGGUAUCAGAAGUGCGAAUGCUGACAUAAGUAACGAUAAAGCGGGUGAAAAGCCCGCUCGCCGGAAGACCAAGGGUUCCUGUCCAACGUUAAUCGGGGCAGGGUGAGUCGACCCCUAAGGCGAGGCCGAAAGGCGUAGUCGAUGGGAAACAGGUUAAUAUUCCUGUACUUGGUGUUACUGCGAAGGGGGGACGGAGAAGGCUAUGUUGGCCGGGCGACGGUUGUCCCGGUUUAAGCGUGUAGGCUGGUUUUCCAGGCAAAUCCGGAAAAUCAAGGCUGAGGCGUGAUGACGAGGCACUACGGUGCUGAAGCAACAAAUGCCCUGCUUCCAGGAAAAGCCUCUAAGCAUCAGGUAACAUCAAAUCGUACCCCAAACCGACACAGGUGGUCAGGUAGAGAAUACCAAGGCGCUUGAGAGAACUCGGGUGAAGGAACUAGGCAAAAUGGUGCCGUAACUUCGGGAGAAGGCACGCUGAUAUGUAGGUGAAGUCCCUCGCGGAUGGAGCUGAAAUCAGUCGAAGAUACCAGCUGGCUGCAACUGUUUAUUAAAAACACAGCACUGUGCAAACACGAAAGUGGACGUAUACGGUGUGACGCCUGCCCGGUGCCGGAAGGUUAAUUGAUGGGGUCAGCGCAAGCGAAGCUCUUGAUCGAAGCCCCGGUAAACGGCGGCCGUAACUAUAACGGUCCUAAGGUAGCGAAAUUCCUUGUCGGGUAAGUUCCGACCU